This 406-nucleotide ribosomal RNA is filed under the name Escherichia coli. Its description in RNAcentral is "bacterial SSU rRNA". It matches the Rfam family "Bacterial small subunit ribosomal RNA", at positions 1034 to 1440 of the family's 1533-position model. The record is from RNAcentral. Lineage: Bacteria; Pseudomonadati; Pseudomonadota; Gammaproteobacteria; Enterobacterales; Enterobacteriaceae.
ACAGGUGCUGCAUGGCUGUCGUCAGCUCGUGUUGUGAAAUGUUGGGUUAAGUCCCGCAACGAGCGCAACCCUUAUCCUUUGUUGCCAGCGGUCCGGCCGGGAACUCAAAGGAGACUGCCAGUGAUAAACUGGAGGAAGGUGGGGAUGACGUCAAGUCAUCAUGGCCCUUACGACCAGGGCUACACACGUGCUACAAUGGCGCAUACAAAGAGAAGCGACCUCGCGAGAGCAAGCGGACCUCAUAAAGUGCGUCGUAGUCCGGAUUGGAGUCUGCAACUCGACUCCAUGAAGUCGGAAUCGCUAGUAAUCGUGGAUCAGAAUGCCACGGUGAAUACGUUCCCGGGCCUUGUACACACCGCCCGUCACACCAUGGGAGUGGGUUGCAAAAGAAGUAGGUAGCUUAACC